GCUGCGUUCAGGGGAUCUAGGUGUUUGAGGGUGUGGGCUGGAAAGUGAACUGCGUUCAGGGGAUCUAGGUGUUUGAGGGUGUGGGCUGGAAAGUGAGCUGCGUUCAGGGGAUCUAGGUGUUUGAGGGUGUGGGCUGGAAAGUGAGCUGCGUUCAGGGGAUCUAGGUGUUUGAGGGUGUGGGCUGGAAAGUGAGCUGCGUUCAGGGGAUCUAGGUGUUUGAGGGUGUGAGUUGAGAGCAGACGUUACAGUUAUGGUGAUGGUUAAGGUUAUGGUUUGGGUAGGGACAUCCCAAGAAUACCAGAUAGCACCAACACUGUGUUAUGAUUGUAUUAUGACACGUUUUGUAAAUCAUGGUAGGAAUUACUGGUAUUGUAGUAUUGAAUGUCAAUGUUUUCUUCAUUUCUGUCAAUAAAC
Molecule: long non-coding RNA, 414 nt
Organism: Oncorhynchus tshawytscha (Chinook salmon)
Lineage: Eukaryota; Metazoa; Chordata; Actinopteri; Salmoniformes; Salmonidae
Source: Ensembl